UAGUCCAUGCUGUAAACGAUGGGUACUAGGUGUGGGCUGUGAAGAACAGUUCGUGCCGUCGCAAACGCAAUAAGUACCCCGCCUGAGGAGUACGAUCGCAAGAUUAAAACUCAAAGGAAUUGACGGGGACCCGCACAAGCAGCGGAGCAUGUGGUUUAAUUCGAAGCAACGCGAAGAACCUUACCUAAACUUGACAUACCUUGAAUUACCUUGUAAAGAGGGAAGCUCGCAAGAGCAAGGAUAC
RNAcentral lists this ribosomal RNA (244 nucleotides) under uncultured bacterium. RNAcentral describes it as "partial 16S ribosomal RNA". It matches the Rfam family "Bacterial small subunit ribosomal RNA", at positions 791 to 1035 of the family's 1533-position model. The record is from RNAcentral.